AGGACCUCGGGGCGCGGACUCUGC
This 24-nucleotide non-coding RNA is filed under the name Cricetulus griseus (Chinese hamster). Lineage: Eukaryota; Metazoa; Chordata; Mammalia; Rodentia; Cricetidae. The record is from RNAcentral.